RNAcentral lists this ribosomal RNA (447 nucleotides) under uncultured bacterium. RNAcentral's name for it is "partial 16S ribosomal RNA". It matches the Rfam family "Bacterial small subunit ribosomal RNA", at positions 29 to 523 of the family's 1533-position model. The record is from RNAcentral.
AACGAACGCUGGCGGCAGGCCUAACACAUGCAAGUCGAGCGCGUAGCAAUACGAGCGGCGCACGGGAUAGUAACGCGUGGGAACCUACCUUUCGGUUCGGAAUAACAUCGGGAAACUGGUGCUAAUACCGGAUACGCCCUUCGGGGGAAAGAUUUAUUGCCGAUAGAUGGGCCCGCGUUGGAUUAGCUAGUUGGUGAGGUAACGGCUCACCAAGGCAACGAUCCAUAGCUGGUCUGAGAGGAUGAUCAGCAUCACUGGGACUGGGACACGGCCCAGACUCCUACGGGAGGCAGCAGUGGGGAAUAUUGGACAAUGGGGGCAACCUUGAUCCAGCCAUGCCGCGUGAAUGAUGAAGGCCUUCGGGUUGUAAAGUUCUUUUGGUGGGGACGAUGAUGACGGUACCCACAGAAUAAGCUCCGGCUAACUUCGUGCCAGCCGCCGCAGUAA